ACCAAGCUUCACUGAAGGCAUGUUUGUUUUGUCGAAAAUAGAUUUUGAAUUGAGGUGGAUUUUGCAUUGGAGUAGAGUUCGGUAAAAUCUAUUUCUUUUCUACUGUUUGUUUUAUAGCUAUGAAAGUGAAGUUCGUUUAGUUUUACUGUUAUUAGCAGAAAGUGACUCUUCAGUUUUGCUAUUUGUUUGGCAGAAAGUAAAUCUGUCACGCCCCAGGGCUUAAUUGGUAUGAGUCUUGCUAUAAAACAAUGACGCUCUAUAAAUUAGAGUUGCGAAUUUUUUUCUUUUUUUGAAAACAGUCUAAUUCACGUGACAUACAGACUCGUCACAAAUAAAAAUUCCUCUGCUCACACGAACAGAAUCCCCUUUGUAAUUUGUACAGCGUACCAAUCAAACAAUAUCAGCCAGAUCACAACUCACAACCUACAUUCACUUAAUUCACAAACAAUCAAUGCAAUACAUGUCUAUACAGCUAAUCAUUUUGCAAUGAUGCAUGUCUCUAAACACUUCUUAACCGCUAAAUGAUGCUAACACUGCCAAACAAACAACAGAACUAUAGAAACUUCAUUUCCAUAUCUAUAAAAUAAACAGUACGAAAGAAGUAGAUUUCAUGAAUUCCACUUUAAUAUAGAAUUCACUUCAACCUAAAGUCUACUUUUGGUGGAACAAAUAUGCCUUAAUAUCUAUUACUAUUAAAUCUAUUAAUAAAUUAAUAAAUUAUAUGAAUCCUCAAUAUAUUUUGGCACGUGGCAAGUUUUUCUUCACCUUCACCACCAUGUAAUUCUUCAUCUUCUCUCCAUUAAAUUUUUAAUUAACGUAUCUAAUUAAUACAUUUAAAAUGACAUACUACUAAACUUUCAAUUAAUGUAUUUAAAUGGUCCCCUAUCAAGUUUUUCUUCACCUUCACCAUCAUGUGAUUCUUCCCCUCUCUUCAUCAAAUUUUUAAUUAACGUACCUAAUUAAUACAUCUAAAAUGGUCUACUACUAAACUUCCAAUUAAUAUAUUUAAAUUCUCCAUUAAAUUUUUAAUUAACGUAUCUAAUUAAUAUAUUUAAAAUAGCCAACUACUAAACUUCCAACUAAUAUAUCUAAAUGUUCCCCCAUGUCAUUUAUAAUUCUCACUAUUUUAUUUCUAAUUAAUUUAUUACGAUCCUUCACUUUUCCUUAGAGAUGUCAAAGGGUCGGAUUCAAGGCGGAUUUUUAAAAUCCGAACCCGAACCCGACUCCAAAUCCGAGACCCGAACCUGAACCCGAACCCGACGGAUUUUAAAAAUUCAUAUCCAAACCCGAACCCGAUCAAAAAUCCGAAACCAGAACACGAACCCGAACCCGACCCGAACCCAAACCCGAAAAUUUGAACCCGAAACAAUUAUUUUUUUUUUCAAUGUUUCAAAAUAUAUUAUAUUAAAUCUAAAUUUUUAAAAUACAAAUUCAAAUAUAACAUCAAAUAUAUAUAUAUAUAUAUAAUACAAAAUAAAUUCGGGUUCGAGUUCGGGUUCGGGUCGGAUACAAUCAAAAUUCAUAUCCGAAUCCAUAUCCGUCGAGUUUCUAUUUUUUAUAUCCAUAUCCGAAUUCAUAUCUAUAUACAUCGGAUAUAUCCGUUUCAUUCGGGUUCGGGUUCGGAUAAAAUUUUGGAUAUCCAUACCUAUUGACAUCCCUACUUUUCCUCCACAAGACUUCUAAAUAAUCCAUUUAAAUAGUUCGUCGUCAUUUACAAUCCUCACAUCUUCAUCCCUCAUCUGUUUUCUAAACCAUCGCCUUCCUCCCUUCCUCCCUCUCUCACACUACUACGCGCUUGCCUCCCCUCUACGGAGAUACAAGAAAAUAUUUGAUGUUCUCUUAUUAUUAAUUGUUUUCACAAUUUUUAUCCGCUGCGAAGCGCAAGUCCUUCACUAGUAUAAGAUGAAGUGCAUAGAAAGAUAAGAGAAGAGA
RNAcentral lists this long non-coding RNA (1932 nucleotides) under Ananas comosus (pineapple). RNAcentral's name for it is "long non-coding RNA (ACOM_LNC032227)". The record is from RNAcentral. Lineage: Eukaryota; Viridiplantae; Streptophyta; Magnoliopsida; Poales; Bromeliaceae.